This 526-nucleotide ribosomal RNA is filed under the name uncultured bacterium. Its description in RNAcentral is "bacterial SSU rRNA". It matches the Rfam family "Bacterial small subunit ribosomal RNA", at positions 791 to 1313 of the family's 1533-position model. The record is from RNAcentral.
UAGUCCACGCCGUAAACGAUGGUCACUAGUUGUUGGGGUCUUGUACCUCAGUGAUUAAGCGAAAGUGAUAAGUGACCCACCUGGGGAGUACGAUCGCAAGAUUGAAACUCAAAGGAAUUGACGGGGGCCCGCACAAGCGGUGGAGCAUGUGGUUUAAUUCGAUGAUACGCGAGGAACCUUACCAGGGCUUAAAUGUAAGUUGCAUAGAUCAGAGAUGGUCUUUUCUUCGGACUACUUACAAGGUGCUGCAUGGUUGUCGUCAGCUCGUGCCGUGAGGUGUCAGGUUAAGUCCUAUAACGAGCGCAACCCCUACCGUUAGUUGCCAGCAUGUAAAGAUGGGGACUCUAGCGGGACUGCCGGUGCAAACCGAGAGGAAGGUGGGGAUGACGUCAAAUCAUCACGGGCCCUUACGUCCUGGGGCUACACACGUGCUACAAUGGGUAACGACAGAGGGGCAGGCCACCCCGCGAGGGGGGANCGGAAUCCUUAAACGUUAUCUCAGUUCGGGAUCGGGAGUCUGCAACUC